UACGUAGGGUGCGAGCGUUGUCCGGAAUUACUGGGCGUAAAGGGCUCGUAGGCGGUUUGUCGCGUCGGGAGUGAAAACCCAGGGCUUAACCCUGGGCUGGCUUCCGAUACGGGCAGACUAGAGGUAUGCAGGGGAGAACGGAAUUCCUGGUGUAGCGGUGAAAUGCGCAGAUAUCAGGAGGAACACCGGUGGCGAAGGCGGUUCUCUGGGCAUUACCUGACGCUGAGGAGCGAAAGUGUGGGGAGCGAACAGG
RNAcentral lists this ribosomal RNA (253 nucleotides) under uncultured bacterium. RNAcentral's name for it is "partial 16S ribosomal RNA". It matches the Rfam family "Bacterial small subunit ribosomal RNA", at positions 524 to 776 of the family's 1533-position model. The record is from RNAcentral.